RNAcentral lists this ribosomal RNA (498 nucleotides) under uncultured bacterium. RNAcentral describes it as "bacterial SSU rRNA". It matches the Rfam family "Bacterial small subunit ribosomal RNA", at positions 15 to 507 of the family's 1533-position model. The record is from RNAcentral.
GAUCAUGGCUCAGAUUGAACGCUGGCGGAAUGCUUUACACAUGCAAGUCGAACGGCAGCGGGGGCUUCGGCCUGCCGGCGAGUGGCGAACGGGUGAGUAAUGCAUCGGAACGUGCCCAUGUCGUGGGGGAUAACGUAUCGAAAGGUACGCUAAUACCGCAUACGUCCUGAGGGAGAAAGCGGGGGAUCUUCGGACCUCGCGCGAUUGGAGCGGCCGAUGUCGGAUUAGCUAGUAGGUGAGGUAAAGGCUCACCUAGGCGACGAUCCGUAGCGGGUCUGAGAGGAUGAUCCGCCACACUGGGACUGAGACACGGCCCAGACUCCUACGGGAGGCAGCAGUGGGGAAUUUUGGACAAUGGGCGCAAGCCUGAUCCAGCCAUGCCGCGUGAGUGAAGAAGGCCUUCGGGUUGUAAAGCUCUUUCGGCCGGGAAGAAAUCGUGUUCUCUAACAUAGGACAUGGAUGACGGUACCGGACUAAGAAGCACCGGCUAACUACGUG